GGUGCUUCUUCUUCGGAAGAUGUAACCCGGCGGACGGCUCAUUAACACGUGGAUAACUUGCCCUUGGGUCCGGGAUAACCCCUGAGAAAUUGGGGACAAUACCGGAUAGGGCAUCGAUUGCUGGAAUGCGCGAUGUCCAAAAGCUGAGGCGCCCAAGGAUAGGUCUGCGGCCGAUUAGGUUGUUGUUGAUGUAAUGGAUCAACAAGCCUGCAAUCGGUACGGGUUGUGAGAGCAAGAGCCCGGAGAUGGGUUCUGAGAAAAGAACCCAGGUCCUACGGGACGCAUCAGGCGCGAAAACUUUACAAUGUGCGAAAGCACGAUAAGGGAACUCUGAGUGCCUCCUAUGGAGGCUGUUCAGGUGUCUAAAAAGCACUUGAAGUAAGGGCUGGGUAAGACCGGUGCCAGCCGCCGCGGUAACACCGGCAGCCCAAGUGGUAGCCACCGAUUAUUGGGUCUAAAGCGUCCGUAACCGGCCAGGUAAGUUCUUUGGGAAAUUUAACCCGCUCAACGGUUAAACUUUCAGGGGAAUACUGCUUGGCUUGGGACCGGGAGAGGUCAAAAGUACUUCAAGGGUAGGGGGUGAAAUCCGUUAAUCCUUGAGGGACCACCAGUAGCGAAGGCGUCUGACCAGACC
RNAcentral lists this ribosomal RNA (634 nucleotides) under uncultured archaeon. RNAcentral describes it as "bacterial SSU rRNA". It matches the Rfam family "Archaeal small subunit ribosomal RNA", at positions 57 to 686 of the family's 1478-position model. The record is from RNAcentral.